Molecule: transfer RNA, 70 nt
Filed under: Rhynocoris fuscipes
Lineage: Eukaryota; Metazoa; Arthropoda; Insecta; Hemiptera; Reduviidae
Description: tRNA-Met
Rfam family: tRNA
About the family: Transfer RNA (tRNA) molecules are approximately 80 nucleotides in length. Their secondary structure includes four short double-helical elements and three loops (D, anti-codon, and T loops).
Source: RNAcentral
AAAAAGAUAAGCUAAUUUAAGCUAUCAGGUUCAUACCCUGAGUAUAGAAGUUAUAAUCUUCUUCUUUUUA